This 7787-nucleotide long non-coding RNA is filed under the name Lynx pardinus (Iberian lynx). Lineage: Eukaryota; Metazoa; Chordata; Mammalia; Carnivora; Felidae. The record is from RNAcentral.
UGUCUCUCUACGAGCCUUGCCCGCCUCUCCCUCCCCUCCCUCCAGCUCUCUCUGCUCCCUUCCUGCUGUCCCUACAAGCGCAUGUGGGAAGUACAUGCUUUUCUGAGUCCGAUAAUGCUCUCAAAUUACUUAGCCUCUUGGUGUUUCAAUUUCCUUGUCUGUGAACUUGCAGCUGUGAAAGUCUAUAAGGACUGUGUUGGACCUCUUGGGCUGCCACGAAACCCCAGACAAUGUCUGGAAAUGUGUGGAUGGAUCCUGAAAGGGGAGGUACUAUCAGAGGUAUUGUUAUACAUCAUCCGGCCUUCCUCAACUCUGCUGUGAAACCCUGAAACAAUGCAUUGUCCAGCUGGGAUGCCAUAUUGGGCUACAGAGGAAAGUCAUGUCCUAGGUAAGCUUCUUAUCUCUAUGAAAAGAAGGAAGGAGAAUAGUAAUUCUUAAAACUAAAAUAAUCUUAUCUACUAUAAAAUUACUCUAGGACCAUCGUUAAAAUGUUUGAAACCUUAAAAAAAAGUCAAAGAUAUCUAUAUCUAUCUAUCUAUCUAUCUAUCUAUCUAUCUACACAGACAUAAAAGCUACCCUUGAUCCCACCUGCAAAAGGUAACCAUUAUUAAGACAUGGGCUGUAUUCGUUCUAGUUGUUUUUCAGGGCAUAGACUUUUAGUUUCCUGUUUUCUUUGGUAGUUUUCAAUAGUGAUGAUCACUGUCCAAAACAUAUUAUCCCUGAUUUUCUUUUUUUUUCAUUUACUAUUAUAGGCCUGUGCUUCUGUGUGUUUGACAGUAAUACUAACUAGUAUUUAUAAGAUGUUCACUACCGACUGGGAACGACCUUGAGAAUAGUAUGUAAAUUAUCUCAUCUCAUUUCAAAAUCAUCCUACAAGGUCUGUGGAUAUUAUCUGCAGUUUGGAGUGGAGGAAGUUGAGGCUCAGAGGGGCUCAGUCACAUGCCGGUGGUUUCGUGGCUCAUAGGUGGCGGGGCUGGGUUUGAAGAAAGGUCUGACUGAAAGCGGAGCGCCCAUUCCCUGCCACCUGCCCCCUGCUCUGGUCUCUCGUGUGCGGGGUCUCACAGCCAGGUCCAGAAGAGCACAUAGGGAGCUGGGUGUUGCAGAGUUCCAGAGAACAGCCCCACUUCGUUUCCCUGGUUUCCCUGGCUCUUUCUUUCCUCCUACAUUCCCUCUGGGUAAAUUCCAAAAGGAAACACUCCUUUACAGCCCUCCUUUUCUGCUGCCUGUAUUGAAAAUUAGAGCUCAAUUAAUGGUAGGUAGUGGGGCUGAUUCGACAGCAUGGUGCUUUUACAAUUAUUGCCUUUCUGAGAGUUCCUUGAAAAUGUCACUAUAGAGGUGCAUAGACAUUUUCUGGAUCUCUGGUGGCCCAGGCAAUGCCUUCGAUGUGGUCAUAUCGCCUGCUGGUGUCUGUUGUCUCUGGUCUUUAAAAUAUAUCUGGCCCUUCUCCACCCACAUGCAAAGGAUCAGGGACAAAAGCCAACUGCAAGUCAAAGUUCCUGUCUUGUGUUCAGGACAGUCCCAGGACAGGUGACUUGUCUUGUACCUACUCUCUAAUGACCCUUGUUCUGAACACACACCAUCCGCCACCGCCUUGGUUUAUUAGGACUCCUUUUGUUGAAAGUGACAGAAAAAAACAACCCAAAUGAACUUAAGCCAAUAAGGAACUUAUUAGGCUACAUAACAGUAAAAUAUAAAGCUACCUUCAGGCACAGCUGGAUCCACGAUAUCAGACAAUGUUCUCAGGGCCUUUCUUUCUCCUGACUUCAGCUCUAGAUAGCCUGUUCUGAGAGUCAGAGUGGCUGAAGCCAUCCCAGUUCUGGGUCUAAAAGGAAAGAGAGAGAGCUCUUGCCCAAAUUAGGGUUAGGAAACUUUUCCCUUUUGGUAGUAAGAACAUGUGUUAUGUAAGCACAGCUGUUGUCUGUAACUCCAUUUGUAUUUUGAGAGAGCAGUAGAAUUUGCUUAAGCUACGGCCGGGACCUUCCCUAAAAUGUUCUGGACUUUCCGGAUAUGGCAUGAUAAGUUUGGGAUCUCAAGGAGCUUUCUAGUUUGAUCUCAUUGCUCUGAGGGAAAAAGGAGAGAGAGACAGAGAGAGAGAGCAAGGAGGAAGGGUAGGAAGAGAGGAAGAGGGAAAGAGACUCGGAGAGACCAAGCUUUUACUCUGGCCAGGCUUCAGGUGCCUGACUCAUGUCCUUACAUUUAACCCUCCUGGUGACUAUGAGGGGGAAUCAUUAUCAUCUUCAUUUCACACCGAGGAAACCAAGGCUUGGCCACGAAGUCAAAGAGCCUAGAUUCGAACCCAUAACUGCCGAUGCCAUAGCUUAUGCUCUGAACAGUGGAUUUCCCGCUACAUGGGAGACUCUUGGCUUGAAGAGCACCCUCGACAGAAGGGUGGUUACUAGCUUCAAAACGCGACGUUGGGAUAAAGAUGUGUGGGCCAAGGGUGGGCUGGACACGUUAUUUACUCUCCACGCUUGGGCAGCUCGGGGGCUGAAAGGUGGUGCCUUUCAUGACGUUACCGGGAGAACAGGCAUCUUUGGGGACCGUCAGGAGCAAAACUGGGUGCAUGGACUAUCUAAGCAAAGGUGAGUGUUGAAACCUAGGAGGGCUAUCUUGGGCUCAUUUUUACAGACGAGAAAGCAGAGCCCGCAAAUCACGGAGCUUUCUCACCCAAAUCUGUAGGAUUCUGAAGUUCGUGCCCUCUUUUCCUUCACAACAUCCUGCCUCCUGAAGCCUUUGAAUUCCAGUUCUUGAAAGUACAGCUCUCCGCAGGGGCUGGUGGGCAGAGGUGGGCAUUGCCAACAGCACCCGGCUGCCAGCGCAUUAGGGACACCGCUUUCUCAAAUCUGUUAUUCCCGGAGACAUCUUGUCCUCGCUUCCCCAUAUGGAGGCUCCCUCUGCUCCCAGCCCUGGGGACUGGGCAGGAAGAGGGGUGCUUUCCUUUUGCCAAAUGCAGGAAAGUUCUGCAGAUCGCAGGGUUCUCGUUCCCAUCUAACUGUCCCAUGUCUGUUUUUCCUUCACCCAGAUCCCUGUUGUCGCGUUCAUUUGUCCAUCUGUUCCGAUAACAGUUUAUUAGUUGUUGCUUGAAUUCACUUCACAUGAAUUGAGCAAUAACUCGGGGCCAGGACCUCUGUUAAAUGUUGGGAUGAAGCAAAAAGGCACACACGCUCUGUUUUCAAGGAGCUUGCAGACCACUCUAGAAGGCCAAGAGUCUCCAUUAUCCAAUCAAGAAAGUAUCGGGAGUGCAAGGAAGUCAUGGCUAUUGCCGCCUGGGAAUUGAGAGCCAGGGAUAUGGUCUUGGAUGAAGAGGUAGCAGUGUUGGGCAGUUUAUCCAUUUAUCUGCCUGUGACUCACUUGUCUAUGCAUCCAACAAUUGUGCUUAAAUCCAUCUGUGCCUCACGGGCCCUGACUGCUCAAUGUAACGAUUUCCCAAAUAUUUAGGGUUUUCUGUGGAUCAGCUUCUGUGCCAGGCAGUUGGAGGAGGACUGCACAUGUUUACUUGGAACUUGGGCAUCUCCUGAAGUCUGGUUCCUCAUGCUGUUGAGCAUAAAAGUCACCUGGGGGUUAACAAUACAGAUUCCCAAGCGUACUUCUAAAAACCUGCAUUAUUGAGUCAGGAGAGCAAUCCCAGAACCUUCACUGUUAUGCAGCACCCAGGCGAAUUCAGAUAGAUCACACCUUCAGAGACAUUGGGGUCUAGUGGUCUUGAAAGGCGAGAAGUUAAGAGUAAGUUGCAAUACAGCAUUAAAAGGAAAAAGUAAAGACCCAGAAGUACAGACAUACAGGGAGGUGUUUAGGGAAAGGAGAGCUCUUAUUACUGGAUAAUAGGGUGAAUGGGGUUGGGGACAAGUGGUGGGCAGCGUGAAUUGAAAAUUCUGGAAGGUGGAUAGAAGCUAGAUUUUGAUUGCAGGGUCAGGAACGAUGAGGAGUUUCAGCUUUAUCUUAUAGGCAACUGCAAGUUGUAGAAGGUACUUUAAGGAGUCAGGGUUUUAAAAUAAAACAAAUGUUUUUUAAUGUUUAUUUUUAAGAGAGAGAGAGAGAGGGAGCACGAGCGAGCACAAGCGGGGGAGGGGCAGAGAGAGAGGCAGGCACAGAAUCCCAAGCAGGCUCCAAGCUCUGAACUGUCAGCACAGAGCCUGACACGGGGCUCGAACUCACAGACUGUGAGAUCAUGACCUGUGCUGAAGUUGGACACCUAACUGACUGAGCCACCCAGGUGCUCCUUAAUUUUUUUUUUUUUUUAGUGUUUAUUUAUUUUUAAGAGAGAGAGCACGAGCAGGGAAAUGACACAGAGAGAGGGAGACACAGAAUCCGAAGCAGGCUCCAGGCCCUGAGCUGUCAGCACAGAGCCUGACCUGGGGAUCGAACCCACAAGCCGUGAGAUCAUGACCUGAGGGAAAGUCGGACACUCAACCGACUGAGCCACCCAAGCUCCCCAAGGUGUCAGUGUUUUAAAAUCCCCAUGAAGGGGCGCCUGGGUGGCGCAGUCGGUUGAGCGUCCGACUUCAGCCAGGUCAUGAUCUUGCGGUCUGUGAGUUCGAGCCCCGCGUCGGGCUCCGAGCUGAUGGCUCAGAGCCUGGAGCCUGUUUCCGAUUCUGUGUCUCCCUCUCUCUCUGCCCCUCUCCCGUUCAUGCUCUGUCUCUCUCUGUCCCAAAAAUAAAAAAAUAAAAAAAAACGUUGAAAAAAAAAAUUAAAAAAAUAAAAUAAAAUCCCCAUGAAGUUACACAGCUGGGACCUCAGUCUUUUCCCAAAUUUUUACGAGUUUUAGUGUCUCGGUGAAUGGCAGUUUUCUUCAUUCAGGAGAAGUAAUGUUUACCUGUUGGGGCAAUGUUAGGACCUGAACGAGAUAAAGUGGCACACGGACAGCACUCGUAAACAGAAGUGGCUUUAUUCGUACUGUCAUUUGGGUGGGCAUAGAGGUGGUGAUCAUUCCCGCCGGACACGUGGGACCCCAGGGACAAGACGAGAGGGGCUCGGGGCGUUAAGUGUAGUCCGAGGAGCUAGAAACCCGGGGCAUUCUUGCUCCCAGGGCCUGGUGGUGAGAAGAUGAUGAGAUAGAAGAAAGUCAGAACUGGGGGGCACCUAAUCUACGCUGGGCUGUUUGUACACAGGCUCAGCCAGUCUUCCUGACGUGACUUUAGACUUCAUAGUGAUGAGCCUUCCUGAUAAGAACAGCCCCAGUAAAAAAGAGAUCUGCUCCCAAUGCUGGCCUUUACGCUGCCCCCUCCUCUCUGUCUACUGUCUCCCUGCCCCAUGAUCCUCCCCUUCCUUCCACACCUUUCCUGGCCGCAAACCUGUUCCAGCCAAGGUCCCCCAGGAGAGCUGGCUGGUGCACACAGUCUCUGAGCCCCUGGAGGGCAGGAUGGCCUCCCGGGAGCCUUCCCUGCCAGUUGGCCUCCAGAAGCCCUACCUUUUCCAGCCUUGGCCACUUCUUCCUGGCAAAUGCCCUGGGCUCUCCUUCCCCGUCGACAGGGUUUUGGGCUCUGAGAACAGCAUCCUCGCUUUUAGGGUCUGCUUCUCUCACUAAUGAAUGAGUUGGGUGGGUGCCUAGAAGUCUAUUACAGCUGUUGAUUCAUUAAUUUCUUUCCCUCUCCCUUGACCUAAAGACUCCAGAAUAAUCACAUUUUAUGUGGUGGCUGCACCUGGGCGAUUCAGUGAAAGGGGGAAACCUGGAUGCAAGGGGCAGGGCGGGGGUGGGGAGCUCCCGCUGCGGGACGUUCGGUACAGUCGCCCUUCUGCCCCUCCUUUCUCUGGAUUCAGGGGCCACCUGUGGUGGGCCGAGCAGAGCAGGUGCAGUGUCAGGACAUGGUCCUUGCUCCCGUGGAAUCCACGGCCCCGUGAGAAGUCCAGGUGAGCGGGUGCACGAACGCAGGCAUGAGUGAAUACCUACCAUAGGACACGGCCGGUGGCACCUAGAUGCCCUGGGCGUGCUCCCCUCCCUCAGCCAGGACCUGUCAUGCCUCAGAGAACAGCCCUUGGGCUACUAGAGAUGUUUUGCUUCUCAUGCUCAGGGGACUGGAAGGGACUGGGCAUUUAGCUGCCCUUAGUCUGUGACUGUGAGCCCAGCUCCCUUGUCUCAGGUUGGGAAAACUCUGAGCCCACCCUCCCCAGGACUUGGCCUGGGAUCGCACCCUCACUUGCUCCUUCUGGCCCCUGUCUUACCUCCCUUAACUCCAAGCAGUGUCUCCUCAAAGUGCGUUUAUAAAUGACCCCUCACGUACAAGUUCUUAUCUCAGGGUCUGCGUUAGGGGAGCCCAGCCGAAGACAGUCACAGCCAGGCAUGCAGACAAGUACAUAAAUAAGAAGGAAGGAAAAAAAUUCCAGAAGAGGCGGCAUCCUAGCCCCAUCCUGGGGAAUGAUUAAUAUUCCCAGGAGGAAAGACCCUAUAAGGCAGAUUACUAUUUCCAACUGUGUAUUCUUAGUAUUUUCUCUUUUUUUAAGUUUAUUUAUUUAUUUUGGAGGGAGAGAGAGUGUGAGCAUGAGCAGGGGAGGGGCAGGGAGAGAGAGGGAGAGAGAGAGAAUCUCGAGCCAGUUGUACGCUAUCAGCACGGAGCCUGAUGCGGGGCUCGAACCCGUGAGCCGCAAGAUCAUGAUCGUGACCUGAGCUGAAACCAAGAGUCGGACGUUUAACCGACUGAGCCACCCGGGUGCCCCUGUUCUUAGUAUUUCCCAUUCUGAGUCCCACCUUCUCAAGGUCGACACCGGAGGUCAAUCUCCGAGGCUCCCUGGAAGCCUGGCCACGGGUGACCUAGAUGUGGCCAGUCCGUCUGACCUCCCAUCCCCAUGCAGGACUUUCCCAGGAGCAGGAGCUGCAGGAGGCAGGGAUGGGGUGUCUCUCCUUCUUGCUGUGCUGGCAGCAGCCGUGGUCUCUCCCUCGGGCCAGUCCCACUGGCACGAGCCUCUCCCGCAAGCCAGACCUGAGCCUAAUCCUCAACUGUGGCCAUUUGCAUAAACUCUUCUUCCGCUGAGUUAUUCAGCUUUCAUCGUCUGCAAGCAGGUUCAGAGGGAGAGAAGGAAGGAAGGGAUCCAGGCAGGAAACAGUCUGGAAACAGCGGGUGCAAAAGCCGAGAGGUGUGCGAGGGAGAACUGGCAACACAGAGGGCAGUUCAGAAUUGCCAAACCUGGGGACGCGUGUCCAGGGACCAGAUUACUGUUCAUUGUUCCGUGCUUGUCCCCGACUCGGCCAUUUUCUCCCUGUGUGACCACAGAUGAGUGGCCCCUCCGUAGGUUCCAAAGCAGCAUGUAACAGGGCUCACUGCGUGCUCCUUGUCCAGGGCAAUUCCCCCUCUGAGCUGUGAGUUGUGAAGCUCAGCCCUCACCUGUGUCCUUAGCUCCGGAAGGGCAGGAAUUCUGCUCUGUGGCCAGAGAAAUUCCCAUCUUAAAAUUUUUUUUUUUACGUUUAUUUAUUUUUGAGAGAGAGAGAGAGAGAGAGACGGAGCAUGAAUGGGGGAGGGGCAGAAAGAGAGGGAGACACAGAAUCCGAAACAGGCUCCAGGCUCUGAGCGGUCAGCACAGAGCCUGACGCGGGGCUCGAACUCACGGACCGCGAGAUGGUGACCUGAGCUGAAGUCGGACGCUUGACCGACUGAGCCACCCAGGCGCCCCGAGAAAUUCCCAUCUUUAGAUGAUUAGGUGGAUACACCCUGUCCAAAAGAUGCUGCAAAGAGUCCUUAAUUCUCCCCUCACGUUGCCCUUCCGUCCGUGUGUGGGAUGGAUAUUGGGGUCACCUUCCUCUUUCUCUUCUCUACCGUCCCCAGCUCGUGCAAUGCCUCCGUGUUCCUCUGGCAUCC